Molecule: non-coding RNA, 269 nt
Organism: Tetranychus urticae (two-spotted spider mite)
Lineage: Eukaryota; Metazoa; Arthropoda; Arachnida; Trombidiformes; Tetranychidae
Source: RefSeq, a predicted model, not a curated record
UUAAACUGCACCAACUAUCCACCAAGAGCAGACUCAAGAUUUGCUCAGUAAACAAGGUUUUGGAGGUAAUGGAUAGAGCUGCCGGACCACACAAUGGCAUUAAAAUCGGAGACUUUGCUACUCUUGAGAAAAGAUUUGCCAUAUCGUUCAUCCUAGAGAACAUAUCAAUUUAUAUGCUAUUAAUUUGCAACAUUGGACCUUCUUUGAAGUCUUCGAAUAAUUCAGCUUAAAAAUUGAAGUCGAAUCAACAUGCAUCAACAAGCGGUGUG